Molecule: transfer RNA, 73 nt
Filed under: Diaphorina citri (Asian citrus psyllid)
Lineage: Eukaryota; Metazoa; Arthropoda; Insecta; Hemiptera; Psyllidae
Rfam family: tRNA
About the family: Transfer RNA (tRNA) molecules are approximately 80 nucleotides in length. Their secondary structure includes four short double-helical elements and three loops (D, anti-codon, and T loops). Further hydrogen bonds mediate the characteristic L-shaped molecular structure. tRNAs have two regions of fundamental functional importance: the anti-codon, which is responsible for specific mRNA codon recognition, and the 3' end, to which the tRNAs corresponding amino acid is attached (by aminoacyl-tRNA synthetases). tRNAs cope with the degeneracy of the genetic code in two manners: having more than one tRNA (with a specific anti-codon) for a particular amino acid; and 'wobble' base-pairing, i.e. permitting non-standard base-pairing at the 3rd anti-codon position.
Source: Rfam by way of RNAcentral
GCCUAGUUAGCUUGGUUGGUAGUGUGUCUGUCUUGUAAGCGCUAGGCCGCGGGUUCGAUUCCCGCCCGGGGCG